GCCCUCGUGGAGUAGUGGAUAUCUCGCCCGGCUCUAAACCGGGAGGUCGUGGGUUCAAAUCUCACCGAGGGUA
Molecule: transfer RNA, 73 nt
Filed under: Streptomyces sp. WM6378
Lineage: Bacteria; Bacillati; Actinomycetota; Actinomycetes; Kitasatosporales; Streptomycetaceae
Description: tRNA-OTHER
Rfam family: tRNA
About the family: Transfer RNA (tRNA) molecules are approximately 80 nucleotides in length. Their secondary structure includes four short double-helical elements and three loops (D, anti-codon, and T loops).
Source: RNAcentral